GGGGGUGUCUUUGGUUUCGACCGUAAGGAUUUAGACUCUAAGUUGCAUGCGGAGGUGCCGUCCUCCUGAUUCGGCAAAAAACUUAACUGGCGAAGAAAACGACAGUUUCGGUUACGCCUUAGCCGCAUAACCGCGGGAGCCGUAUUGCCCUGCUCCGAGCGAUACGACCUCCUGACGAAGAUCGGGGCUUGUUGCCUGUUAGGCGUGAUGUGCAGGCAAGACCCUUAUUACGCUAAGAAUCAGACGCUUGCAGUACUGCUACCUGAUUCCGACAACUACCUCGUACUGAUAAGCAUGUAGAGGCUUAUGGUUUACCUUGCGGGACGGGGGUUCAAUUCCCCCCAUCUCCAACC
Molecule: transfer-messenger RNA, 353 nt
Filed under: Treponema sp.
Lineage: Bacteria; Pseudomonadati; Spirochaetota; Spirochaetia; Treponematales; Treponemataceae
Also listed under: 1 other name
Rfam family: transfer-messenger RNA
About the family: Bacterial tmRNA, also known as 10Sa RNA or SsrA, is named for its dual tRNA and mRNA-like properties. Its role is to liberate the mRNA from a stalled ribosome.
Source: RNAcentral